GUGGGGAAUAUUGGGCAAUGGGCGCAAGCCUGACCCAGCAACGCCGCGUGAAGGAAGAAGGCUUUCGGGUUGUAAACUUCUUUUACCAGGGACGAAACAAAUGACGGUACCUGGUGAAUAAGCCACGGCUAACUACGUGCCAGCAGCCGCGGUAAUACGUAGGUGGCGAGCGUUAUCCGGAUUUAUUGGGUGUAAAGGGCGUGUAGGCGGGACAGCAAGUCAGAUGUGAAAACCAGAGGCUCAACCUCUGGCCUGCAUUUGAAACUGUUGUUCUGGAGUGUCGGAGAGGUAAUCGGAAUUCCGUGUGUAGCGGUGAAAUGCGUAGAUAUACGGAGGAACACCAGUGGCGAAGGCGGAUUACUGGACGAUAACUGACGCUGAGGCGCGAAAGCGUGGGGAGCAAACAGGAUUAGAAACCCCGGUAGUCC
This 428-nucleotide ribosomal RNA is filed under the name uncultured bacterium. Its description in RNAcentral is "partial 16S ribosomal RNA". It matches the Rfam family "Bacterial small subunit ribosomal RNA", at positions 354 to 796 of the family's 1533-position model. The record is from RNAcentral.